Saccostrea echinata is the source of this 246-nucleotide long non-coding RNA. RefSeq lists it as uncharacterized. The transcript has 3 exons. The record is from RefSeq and is a predicted model, not a curated record. Lineage: Eukaryota; Metazoa; Mollusca; Bivalvia; Ostreida; Ostreidae.
UAGGUCUCACUUUUUGUCACAACUUUUUUAAACUACGACCAACUGUUUUACAACCAAAGGUCUUGAAUUGAAAUUAAUUAACUGUAUACUCGAGAGUGAAAUAUCAACAGAAAGAUUAUCCAUAAUAUUAAGCAAUAAAGAAACUGAUGACGAGCACAAAAGCAGUGCUGAUUACAUGCAGAAAGUUUAUAAAAAUAUUUGCACUGCCCUUGGUUUUGUGUGCUCCGAAAUAAGCAGAUUUUCAUU